GCAAUCUCUCCAUGCCCAGAAAUAUAUUCCAAGAGAGAGAGUGUUCUACCAACCCUAUCUGGAGCAAACUCACAGAAUGAGUGAAAACAACCAUGUCCAAGUGG
Molecule: long non-coding RNA, 104 nt
Organism: Sapajus apella (tufted capuchin)
Lineage: Eukaryota; Metazoa; Chordata; Mammalia; Primates; Cebidae
Exons: 3
Source: RefSeq, a predicted model, not a curated record